This 327-nucleotide ribosomal RNA is filed under the name uncultured eukaryote. RNAcentral describes it as "partial 18S ribosomal RNA". It matches the Rfam family "Eukaryotic small subunit ribosomal RNA", at positions 1470 to 1796 of the family's 1831-position model. The record is from RNAcentral.
CCCUUAGAUGUUCUGGGCCGCACGCGCGCUACACUGACGAAUGCAACGAGCUUAUAACCUUGGCCGAAAGGUCUGGGUAAUCUCCAAAUUUCGUCGUGAUGGGGAUAGAUUAUUGCAAUUAUUAAUCUUCAACGAGGAAUGCCUAGUAAGCGCAAGUCAUCAGCUUGCGUUGAUUACGUCCCUGCCCUUUGUACACACCGCCCGUCGCUCCUACCGAUUGAAUGGUCCGGUGAAGCGUUCGGACCGUGGCCUUUGGACGGUUCGCCGUCUGUUGGCUGCGGGAAGUUCGUUAAACCUUNUNACUUAGNGGAAGGAGAANUCGUANCA